This 515-nucleotide ribosomal RNA is filed under the name uncultured bacterium. RNAcentral describes it as "partial 16S ribosomal RNA". It matches the Rfam family "Bacterial small subunit ribosomal RNA", at positions 28 to 523 of the family's 1533-position model. The record is from RNAcentral.
GAUGAACGCUGGCGGCGUGCCUAAUACAUGCAAGUCGAGCGAAUGGAUUAAGAGCUUGCUCUUAUGAAGUUAGCGGCGGACGGGUGAGUAACACGUGGGUAACCUGCCCAUAAGACUGGGAUAACUCCGGGAAACCGGGGCUAAUACCGGAUAAUAUUUUGAACUGCAUGGUUCAAAAUUGAAAGGCGGCUUCGGCUGUCACUUAUGGAUGGACCCGCGUCGCAUUAGCUAGUUGGUGAGGUAACGGCUCACCAAGGCAACGAUGCGUAGCCGACCGGGGGGGGUGAUCGGCCACACUGGGACUGAGCCACGGCCCAGACUCCUACGGGAGGCAGCAGUAGGGAAUCUUCCGCAAUGGACGAAAGUCUGACGGAGCAACGCCGCGUGAGUGAUGAAGGCUUUCGGGUCGUAAAACUCUGUUGUUAGGGAAGAACAAGUGCUAGUUGAAUAAGCUGGCACCUUGACGGUACCUAACCAGAAAGCCACGGCUAACUACGUGCCAGCCGCCGCAGUAA